GCCAGACUCCUACGGGAGGCAGCAGUGGGGAAUAUUGCGCAAUGGGCGAAAGCCUGACGCAGCGACGCCGCGUGAGGGAUGAAGGUCUUCGGAUCGUAAACCUCUGUCAGCAGGGAAGAACGGUCACUGUGCUAAUCAGCAGUGAAUUGACGGUACCUGCAAAGGAAGCACCGGCUAAAUACGUGCCAGCAGCCGCGGUAAUACGUAUGGUGCAAGCGUUAUCCGGAUUUACUGGGCGUAAAGGGAGCGCAGGCGGCGCGCCAAGUCUGAUGUGAAACCCCGGGGCUCAACCCCGGGCAUGCAUUGGAAACUGGCGGGCUGGAGUGCCGGAGAGGUAAGCGGAAUUCCUAGUGUAGCGGUGAAAUGCGUAGAUAUUAGGAGGAACACCAGUGGCGAAGGCGGCCUGCUGGGCUUUAACUGACGCUGAGGCUCGAAAGCGUGGGUAGCAAACAGGAUUAGAUACCCGCGUAUU
This 472-nucleotide ribosomal RNA is filed under the name uncultured bacterium. RNAcentral describes it as "partial 16S ribosomal RNA". It matches the Rfam family "Bacterial small subunit ribosomal RNA", at positions 330 to 794 of the family's 1533-position model. The record is from RNAcentral.